UGCAGUCGCACGAGAAAGGGGCUUCGGCCCUGAGUACAGUGGCGCACGGGUGAGUAACACGUGAAUUAUCUACCUUCGAGUGGGGAAUAACUGGGAGAAAUCUCAGCUAAUACCGCAUAACACCUACGGGUCAAAGCAGCAAUGCGCUUGAAGAGGAGUUCGCGGCAGAUUAGUUAGUUGGCGGGGUAAUGGCCCACCAAGACGAUGAUCUGUAUCCGGCCUGAGAGGGCGCACGGACACACUGGAACUGAAACACGGUCCAGACUCCUACGGGAGGCAGCAGUGGGGAAUUUUGCGCAAUGGGGGAAACCCUGACGCAGCAACGCCGCGUGGAGGAUGAAAUCCCUUGGGAUGUAAACUCCUUUCGAUCGGGACGAUUAUGACGGUACCGGAAGAAGAAGCCCCGGCUAACUUCGUGCCAGCAGCCGCGGUAAUACGAGGGGGGCAAGCGUUGUUCGGAAUUAUUGGGCGUAAAGGGCGCGUAGGCGGUUUGACAAGUCUGAUGUGAAAUCUCUGGGCUCAACCCAGAGUCUGCAUUAGAAACUGUCGGGCUUGAGUAUGGGAGAGGUGAGUGGAAUUUCCGGUGUAGCGGUGAAAUGCGUAGAUAUCGGAAGGAACACCUGUGGCGAAAGCGGCUCACUGGACCAUAACUGACGCUGAGGCGCGAAAGCUAGGGGAGCAAACAGGAUUAGAUACCCUGGUAGUCCUAGCCCUAAACGAUGAUUGCUUGGUGUGACAGUACCCAAUCCUGUCGUGCCGAAGCUAACGCGAUAAGCAAUCCGCCUGGGGAGUACGGUCGCA
This 801-nucleotide ribosomal RNA is filed under the name Edaphobacter sp. Its description in RNAcentral is "bacterial SSU rRNA". It matches the Rfam family "Bacterial small subunit ribosomal RNA", at positions 56 to 890 of the family's 1533-position model. Lineage: Bacteria; Pseudomonadati; Acidobacteriota; Terriglobia; Terriglobales; Acidobacteriaceae. The record is from RNAcentral.